CAGAGGUGCUGAGAGGCUCCAGGAGGGUUUUUUUCCAGACCAAAGGCAGUGCAAUUCCCUCAGCCAACACCUGCCUGAGCAGCACCAGGCCUCAUUUACUAAACAGGCUGGGCACUGCGUGCUGUUAUUUUUGGAGAGUUUCAGCCCAAAUGACCCCAAACCAAGAUGUUUUCCUGGAAAACAGGACCAGCAUGAACGGUGAAAAGAAAAGAUGGCAUCUGAGCCAGGCCCAGGUGCUGUGUGCAAGGUUGGUAAUUCCACUCAGCCAGGUUUUUUUUUUGGUGGGAACAAGGCUGGUUUGUUCAGUUGGGAACCUCUGGAGCAGGGAUCAGUCCCACCAAAGCACAGCUGGCUCUGGGAUGUGAGGAGCAGCCAACGUAACCAACAUUUGGGUUUUUCACAUCAAAGUGCCCCCAUCAGCUCACCAGAGUAAAGGCACCCACUGUUCCUGCUCGGGGUUAUUAAAUUUAUUAAUUAUUAAUGGGCCUGUUAAUGCCCUGAAAGGUGUUUUGUACACCCAGUGCAAUAAACAUCCCCUGAUGCUGGCUGAUUUACUCCCUUUGGGGGCUGGAGCCUAUUGGUGGAAGAAAGAACAGUUCUUACAAUAAAAAUAUCAGAACAACUCUUUUUUUUUUUUUGCAGAGAAAUUCUCCAGCAGCAAAAAAAAAAUCCUCUCCCUCUGAUGCCAAAAAACCCCAAAACAAAACCAACCAACCAACCAAAAAACCAAACCCAAAGCAAACAAAAACCCCACAAACAACAACAAACAAAAC
Long non-coding RNA from Passer domesticus (house sparrow), 773 nucleotides. RefSeq lists it as uncharacterized. The record is from RefSeq and is a predicted model, not a curated record. NCBI's taxonomy places the organism in Eukaryota, Metazoa, Chordata, Aves, Passeriformes, Passeridae. The transcript has 2 exons.